Manis pentadactyla (Chinese pangolin) is the source of this 1244-nucleotide long non-coding RNA. RefSeq lists it as uncharacterized. The transcript has 3 exons. The record is from RefSeq and is a predicted model, not a curated record. Lineage: Eukaryota; Metazoa; Chordata; Mammalia; Pholidota; Manidae.
CCCUGGCUGUCCACUUCUGGAGGCCUGGUAAUCAGAGUGGCGUCCUGAGUGUCCAGUGAGCACAUUUCCUCACCACAGCCCCAACUGGAGUGCGGCUCUGCUGCCCUCAACUGCAUCUGUGCCUGGAGAACAGAGGCACUGUUUCACCCCUUCUAGAAAAAACCUCCAGCCUUUCCCUGGAUGGGGAAGGAGAGUCAUACAGCCGCCUGAAGCUGGGGAGCUGAAGAGGGGACCUGAAGCCACAGUUUCUUCUCACACAGAGCUACAGCCAGUCCUGCAGGUGUCAGCUGCCUCUUUAUACCUACUCCUAUGGCACUUGCUGCUGCCAGGACCUGAGCCUUGGGGAAUUCGACUGCAAGAUCAUCCUGGCUCUCACUUGACCCCACGACUGCUUUGGGUUGAGUUUCGCAGAUUAGUGAAGUCUCAGGAGGGAGUGAAAAUAGCUGUCUGUGUUCAACCUGCCAUCUUUACCUGGAGGCCUGCCACCUGGAUCCCGUACAGGAAACGGCGGCCCCAUGAGCAGCAGCGUCUUUGGAGAAGAGAGAGCCCGUUCAGGAGGCGGAGGAAGCCAUGUAAGAACAGAGGCAAGGUUAACAAGAAGCUCCAGCAUUACCCCAGGGCGAUCCUCAUGCCUUAAUAUGGAGACUGACUCAGUGGGAAAGUGCUGCAGUUCUCUGAAAUGCUAUUUUUAAAAUGAUCAUUCAAGGGAAAACGGACAUGACCAAGUCAGACUCCCUCCCCGCACCAAAUAAACAAAGGAAAACUCAGGACAAUCAGAAAUGUGACUUAUGGAUAUUUUAAAAUAGAAAUUGGGUAGAAAAUAUUAAAAGGGGAGAGAGAAAAAUAUGUUGAAGGCCUCGGAAAGCCAGUGAGAACCGGGCUGUAGGGAUGAGGCAUCAGGGGAGGACGGGGGAGAACUACGGAGCCACGGAGGGAGGGGAGGAGAGGAAUGUGCUCCACAGGAUGACAGCUGCGGCUCUCACCCGCCUGUUCUCAGGCAUUAAUGAGCUUAUCCGGUAUAUCAAAUGGUUUAGCUUAACCGAAAAUAUAUCCCCGAGUAGAAUCUCUGGUAGCAUUACUUUGUAGAUAUGUUACUUCCCUGGCAAUGAUUUGCACACAUGUACACACGCACGUACACACCAAUAUCUAUUUGUGUUGUCUCUGUGGACGAGGCUCACAAGAAGCAGAACACGUGAUGUACUCAUCCCUGGGCGGGGUUUAGUUAGUGGCUUGGGAGGAGAGAA